CCUACGGGAGGCAGCAGUGGGGAAUAUUGGACAAUGGGGGAAACCCUGAACCAGCGACGCCGCGUGAGUGAAGACGUAUUUCGGUACGUAAAGCUCUAUCAGCAGGAAAGAAAAUGACGGUACCUGACUAAGAAGCCACGGCUAACUACGUGCCAGCAGCCGCGGUAAUACGUAGGGGGCCAGCGUUAUCCGGAUUUACUGGGUGUAAAGGGAGCGUAGACGGCAGCGCAAGGCUGGAGUGAAAUGCCGGGGCCCAACCCCGGAACUGCGGUGGAAACUGUGAAGCUGGAGUGCAGGAGAGGUAAGCGGAAUUCGUGGUGUAGCGGUGAAAUGCGUAGAUAUCAGGAAGAACUCCGACUGCGAAGGCAGCUUACUGGACUGUAACUGACGUUGAGGCUCGAAGGCGUGGGGAUCAAACAGGAUUAGAUACCCUUGUAGUC
This 440-nucleotide ribosomal RNA is filed under the name uncultured bacterium. RNAcentral describes it as "partial 16S ribosomal RNA". It matches the Rfam family "Bacterial small subunit ribosomal RNA", at positions 338 to 795 of the family's 1533-position model. The record is from RNAcentral.